UACGAAGGGGGCUAGCGUUGUUCGGAAUUACUGGGCGUAAAGCGCACGUAGGCGGGUUCUUAAGUCAGGGGUGAAAUCCCGAGGCUCAACCUCGGAACUGCCUUUGAUACUGGGAAUCUUGAGUUCGGGAGAGGUGAGUGGAAUUGCGAGUGUAGAGGUGAAAUUCGUAGAUAUUCGCAGGAACACCAGUGGCGAAGGCGGCUCACUGGUCCGAUACUGACGCUGAGGUGCGAAAGCGUGGGGAGCAAACAGG
Molecule: ribosomal RNA, 253 nt
Filed under: uncultured bacterium
Lineage: Bacteria
Description: partial 16S ribosomal RNA
Rfam family: Bacterial small subunit ribosomal RNA
Source: RNAcentral